CCUACGGGAGGCAGCAGUGGGGAAUUUUGGACAAUGGGGGCAACCCUGAUCCAGCAAUGCCGCGUGUGUGAAGAAGGCCUUCGGGUUGUAAAGCACUUUUGUCCGGAAAGAAAUCCCCUGGGAUAAUACCUCGGGGGGAUGACGGUACCGGAAGAAUAAGCACCGGCUAACUACGUGCCAGCAGCCGCGGUAAUACGUAGGGUGCGAGCGUUAAUCGGAAUUACUGGGCGUAAAGCGUGCGCAGGCGGUUUUGUAAGACAGGCGUGAAAUCCCCGAGCUCAACUUGGGAAUGGCGCUUGUGACUGCAAGGCUAGAGUAUGUCAGAGGGGGGUAGAAUUCCACGUGUAGCAGUGAAAUGCGUAGAGAUGUGGAGGAAUACCGAUGGCGAAGGCAGCCCCCUGGGACGUCACUGACGCUCAUGCACGAAAGCGUGGGGAGCAAACAGGAUUAGAUACCCUGGUAGUCCACGCCCUAAACGAUGUCAACUAGUUGUUGGGG
This 498-nucleotide ribosomal RNA is filed under the name uncultured bacterium. Its description in RNAcentral is "bacterial SSU rRNA". It matches the Rfam family "Bacterial small subunit ribosomal RNA", at positions 338 to 828 of the family's 1533-position model. The record is from RNAcentral.